RNAcentral lists this ribosomal RNA (497 nucleotides) under uncultured bacterium. RNAcentral's name for it is "partial 16S ribosomal RNA". It matches the Rfam family "Bacterial small subunit ribosomal RNA", at positions 28 to 507 of the family's 1533-position model. The record is from RNAcentral.
GAUGAACGCUGGCGGCGUGCCUAAUACAUGCAAGUCGAGCGAACAGAUAAGGAGCUUGCUCCUUUGACGUUAGCGGCGGACGGGUGAGUAACACGUGGGUAACCUACCUAUAAGACUGGGAUAACUUCGGGAAACCGGAGCUAAUACCGGAUAACAUUUGGAACCGCAUGGUUCUAAAGUGAAAGAUGGUUUUGCUAUCACUUAUAGAUGGACCCGCGCCGUAUUAGCUAGUUGGUAAGGUAACGGCUUACCAAGGCAACGAUACGUAGCCGACCUGAGAGGGUGAUCGGCCACACUGGAACUGAGACACGGUCCAGACUCCUACGGGAGGCAGCAGUAGGGAAUCUUCCGCAAUGGGCGAAAGCCUGACGGAGCAACGCCGCGUGAGUGAUGAAGGGUUUCGGCUCGUAAAACUCUGUUAUUAGGGAAGAAUAAAUGUGUAAGUAACUGUGCACGUCUUGACGGUACCUAAUCAGAAAGCCACGGCUAACUACGUG